GCGAUGAUGGUUGGGUCCCACACGGCGGAAGCCCGCGAACCCCGCCAGGUCCGGGAGGAAGCAACGGUAAGCGGUCACUUCCGGGUGUUGUGGGGUAGCCUAA
Molecule: signal recognition particle RNA, 103 nt
Filed under: Thermobaculum terrenum ATCC BAA-798
Lineage: Bacteria; Bacillati; Chloroflexota; Chloroflexia; Thermobaculales (SeqCode); Thermobaculaceae (SeqCode)
Description: SRP RNA; RNA component of signal recognitionparti cle
Rfam family: Bacterial small signal recognition particle RNA
About the family: The signal recognition particle (SRP) is a universally conserved ribonucleoprotein involved in the co-translational targeting of proteins to membranes. Archaeal SRP consists of a 7S RNA and homologues of the eukaryotic SRP19 and SRP54 proteins.
Source: RNAcentral